AAUUAAUUUAUUAUUAUCAUUUAAUGUGAUUUUCUUUUUUAAUAAAAUUAAUUUUAUAUUAUAAGUGUUUUAGUAUAUUUACAUGAAAAGAUUAUUUUAAUUAUAAUUUAUUGUAAAGUAAUUGAAUUAAUGGAUUUAUUUGAAAGCAAAUAUUUUAUUGUACCUUUUGUAUCAGGGUUUAUCAAAAUUAUUUUAUCUAUAGAUUUAUCUCGAUUUUAAUGGAUUUAUUUUAAGAUAUAUUUUAAUGUGGAAUUAUUAUUAAAAAUUUUAAGAUAGGAAUGAAAUGUUAUUCGUCAUUAAUUCUAUCUAGUUUCUUAAGACUGAAUUUAAUUCAAUCAAUAAUAUUAAUGUUUAAUUUUUUAUUUAUUUAUUGUUAUUGUUAAAUUAAUAAAAGGCUAAGCUUUUAUUAAUAUUUAAAAGGUUAUUUAGAUAUAAGUUAUGUUGAGGCUUUUAAUCAGCCAUUAUUUUAAAUUUCGUUUUAGAAUAUAAUUGAAUAAUUUUAUUUAUAGUUCCUUUGGAUCAAAAAUUAAGAUUAUUUUAUAAAUAUAGAAUAUUAUGAAAUAAUGAUUAAAUUAGUAUAAUUAUUUUAAUGUUUAUUAGUUGAAAUUAAUUUAAUAUAAGGAACUAGGCAAUAUUAAAUGUAAAUUCCCGCCUGUUUAACAAAAACAUGUCUUAUUUGAUUAUAAUUUUAAGUCGUUCCUGCCCACUGUAUAACAAUUAAAUGGCCGCGGUAUUUUGACCGUGCAAAGGUAGCAUAAUCAUUAGUCUUUUAAUUAAGGACUUGAAUGAAUGGAUUGACGAGGAAUUAACUGUCUCAUAUUAAUAAAUAGAAUUUGACUUAUUAAUUAAAAGGUUAAUAUAAAGUUUAAGGACGAGAAGACCCUAUAGAGCUUUAAUAUAUUUAAAAUUUAUCCAUAAAAUUUUAUGGAUAAAUUUAAGGAUAUUUUUGUUGGGGUGACAGAGAUAAUAUUUAAUCUUUCUUUAUAAAAUUUCAUAUUUUUAUGUAAAUUUUGAUCCAUAAUUUAUGAUUAUAAGAUUAAGUUACCUUAGGGAUAACAGCGUAAUGAAUCUUGAGAGUCCUUAUUGAUAGAUAAGUUUACGACCUCGAUGUUGGAUUAAGACAAAAUUAUGGUGCAUAAGCUUUAUAUUUAGGUCUGUUCGACCUUUAAUUUCUUACAUGAUCUGAGUUCAGACCGGUGCAAGCCAGGUCGGUUUCUAUCCUAAAUUUUGGUUAAUGUGUUAGUACGAAAGGACCAUACAUUAUAGACAUUCUAUUUAUAAUUAGAAUUAUAUUAAUC
Molecule: ribosomal RNA, 1298 nt
Filed under: Chorotypus fenestratus
Lineage: Eukaryota; Metazoa; Arthropoda; Insecta; Orthoptera; Chorotypidae
Description: 16S ribosomal RNA
Rfam family: Archaeal large subunit ribosomal RNA (bases 865-1225)
Source: RNAcentral